This is a transfer RNA of 95 nucleotides. It matches the Rfam family "Selenocysteine transfer RNA".
GGAGGUGUACCCGACCUGGUGGUCGGCCUGGUCUUCAAAACCAGUGAGGCAAGUUCAUCCUGCCUGGCGGGUUCGAUUCCCGUCCGCCUCCGCCA